This 465-nucleotide ribosomal RNA is filed under the name uncultured bacterium. RNAcentral's name for it is "bacterial SSU rRNA". It matches the Rfam family "Bacterial small subunit ribosomal RNA", at positions 355 to 834 of the family's 1533-position model. The record is from RNAcentral.
UGGGGAAUCUUGGACAAUGGGGGCAACCCUGAUCCAGCCAUGCCGCGUGAGUGAUGAAGGCCUUAGGGUCGUAAAGCUCUUUCGCCUGUGAAGAUAAUGACGGUAGCAGGUAAAGAAACCCCGGCUAACUCCGUGCCAGCAGCCGCGGUAAUACGGAGGGGGUUAGCGUUGUUCGGAAUUACUGGGCGUAAAGCGCACGUAGGCGGACCAGAAAGUUGGGGGUGAAAUCCCGGGGGCUCAACCCCGGAACUGCCUCCAAAACUAUUGGUCUAGAGUUCGAGAGAGGUGAGUGGAAUUCCAAGUGUAGAGGUGAAAUUCGUAGAUAAUUUGGAGGAACACCAGUGGCGAAGGCGGCUCACUGGCUCGAUACUGACGCUGAGGUGCGAAAGUGUGGGGAGCAAACAGGAUUAGAUACCCUGGUAGUCCACACCGUAAAACGAUGAAUGCCAGUCGUCGGGUAGCAUG